AACGCACGAGACCUGCGGACCUGCGGAAGGAUCAUCACUGAAUUUUGUGUGUGUGGGCCAGUGGGGUGGGAUGAGUUCUCAUCGGACAUGACCCGCAUACCCCCGCCCCACACACAAAACAAAUCUCCGUCAACCUGUUGCAUUUGUAUGACUGACGUGGGCUGGAUUUCGGCUUUGAGGUGUACGUGGGGGGAAUGGCAAUUUCCCUCACCCGCCAAAAGGAGGACGAGCCGCCCACCG
RNAcentral lists this unclassified non-coding RNA (240 nucleotides) under soil metagenome. Its description in RNAcentral is "partial contains 5.8S ribosomal RNA, internal transcribed spacer 2, and large subunit ribosomal RNA". The record is from RNAcentral.